UACGUAGGGUGCAAGCGUUGUCCGGAAUUAUUGGGCGUAAAGAGCUCGUAGGCGGCUUGUCGCGUCGACUGUGAAAACCCGCGGCUCAACUGCGGGCCUGCAGUCGAUACGGGCAGGCUAGAGUUCGGUAGGGGAGACUGGAAUUCCUGGUGUAGCGGUGAAAUGCGCAGAUAUCAGGAGGAACACCGGUGGCGAAGGCGGGUCUCUGGGCCGAUACUGACGCUGAGGAGCGAAAGCGUGGGGAGCGAACAGG
This 253-nucleotide ribosomal RNA is filed under the name uncultured bacterium. RNAcentral's name for it is "partial 16S ribosomal RNA". It matches the Rfam family "Bacterial small subunit ribosomal RNA", at positions 524 to 776 of the family's 1533-position model. The record is from RNAcentral.